RNAcentral lists this transfer RNA (72 nucleotides) under Bos taurus (domestic cattle). It matches the Rfam family "tRNA". Rfam says of the family: Transfer RNA (tRNA) molecules are approximately 80 nucleotides in length. Their secondary structure includes four short double-helical elements and three loops (D, anti-codon, and T loops). Further hydrogen bonds mediate the characteristic L-shaped molecular structure. tRNAs have two regions of fundamental functional importance: the anti-codon, which is responsible for specific mRNA codon recognition, and the 3' end, to which the tRNAs corresponding amino acid is attached (by aminoacyl-tRNA synthetases). tRNAs cope with the degeneracy of the genetic code in two manners: having more than one tRNA (with a specific anti-codon) for a particular amino acid; and 'wobble' base-pairing, i.e. permitting non-standard base-pairing at the 3rd anti-codon position. The record is from Rfam by way of RNAcentral. Lineage: Eukaryota; Metazoa; Chordata; Mammalia; Artiodactyla; Bovidae. RNAcentral also lists the same sequence under 3 other names.
UCCCUGUUGGCUCAACUGAUAAAGGAUCUGCCUGUGAUGCAGGAGACCUGGGUUCAAUCCCUAGGUUGGGAA